Molecule: ribosomal RNA, 254 nt
Filed under: uncultured Acidobacteriota bacterium
Lineage: Bacteria; Pseudomonadati; Acidobacteriota
Description: uncultured Acidobacteria bacterium partial 16S ribosomal RNA
Rfam family: Bacterial small subunit ribosomal RNA
Source: RNAcentral
UACGGGGGGGGCAAGCGUUGUUCGGAAUUACUGGGCGUAAAGGGCUCGUAGGCGGCCAACUAAGUCGGACGUGAAAGCCCUCGGCUUAACCGAGGAACGGCGUCCGAUACUGGAUGGCUUGAGGUUGGGAGAGGGAUGCGGAAUUCCAGGUGUAGCGGUGAAAUGCGUAGAUAUCUGGAGGAACACCGGUGGCGAAGGCGGCAUCCUGGACCAAUUCUGACGCUGAGUGAGCGAAAGCUAGGGGAGCAAACGGG